GUAUAGAGGGUGAAUUCUGCCCAAUGGUUGUAUAGUGAAACUAAGGACUAACGUCUAAAGCGAAACCCAACUGAAUGGCCGCGGUAACUCUGACCGUGAUAAUGUAGCACAAUAAAUAGCCAAUUAAUUGUUGGCGGGUAUGAAUGGAACCACGAGGGUCUUACUGUCUCAAGAGAAAAGCCGAUGAAAUUAUAGUUGUAGUGAAGAUACUACAUAAACAUGUAAGACGAAAAGACCCUAUCGAGCUUUACUGGAUACCGAUAGCGUUAACUUAAAAUGAUCGAUACUAAGUAUCCUAAUUUUGAGUUAAUAAUUUUUGUUGGUGGGACAGUUUAGUUGGGGCGACUACCUUUGAAUAAGAAACGAAGGCGAGCUUAUGGUAUACAAGCUAUCACAUUAGCCUGACAGUGAGGGGGACACCCCUAGCUGGCACAAGGAAGUCCUAUGUGGGCGAUAAUGACCCGAUAUUAUUGUUUAAAAUAAUAUCGAAAGCGGAUAAAAGCUACCGUAGGGAUAACAGCGUAAUAUUGUCGGAGAGUUCUUAUCGAGGACAGUGUUUGCGACCUCGAUGUUGAAUUGCGGUGCCCUGGUGCUGUAGAAGGUACCUUAGGUUGGUC
This 617-nucleotide ribosomal RNA is filed under the name Gersemia rubiformis. Its description in RNAcentral is "partial 16S ribosomal RNA". It matches the Rfam family "Bacterial large subunit ribosomal RNA", at positions 1843 to 2577 of the family's 2925-position model. Lineage: Eukaryota; Metazoa; Cnidaria; Anthozoa; Malacalcyonacea; Nephtheidae. The record is from RNAcentral.